UUUAAUCUUUGGGGAUCGGUGAAAUUCCAUACCGGCGGUAAAAGCAAGAAGGACCGGUCGUGUUCUUUUUGCUCAAAGCCCGCGAACGCAAUAAAUGCGCUGAACAGGGGAAGAUCCUGUGCCGACGGUCACAGUCCGGAUGGGAAAAGAUAAAG
Molecule: non-coding RNA, 155 nt
Filed under: Anaerotruncus sp. CAG:390
Lineage: Bacteria; Bacillati; Bacillota; Clostridia; Eubacteriales; Oscillospiraceae
Also listed under: 1 other name
Description: FMN riboswitch aptamer (RFN element)
Rfam family: FMN riboswitch aptamer (RFN element)
About the family: The RFN element is a highly conserved domain that is found frequently in the 5'-untranslated regions of prokaryotic mRNAs that encode for flavin mononucleotide (FMN) biosynthesis and transport proteins. This element is a metabolite-dependent riboswitch that directly binds FMN in the absence of proteins.
Source: Rfam by way of RNAcentral